Molecule: unclassified non-coding RNA, 332 nt
Filed under: soil metagenome
Description: partial contains 5.8S ribosomal RNA, internal transcribed spacer 2, and large subunit ribosomal RNA
Rfam family: 5.8S ribosomal RNA (bases 1-120)
Source: RNAcentral
GAUGAAGAACGCAGCGAAAUGCGAUAAGUAGUGUGAAUUGCAGAAUUCAGUGAAUCAUCGAAUUUUUGAACGCACAUUGCGCCCUUUGGUAUUCCUUAGGGCAUGCCUGUUCGAGCGUCAUUUAAACCUUCAAGCUCAGCUUGGUGUUGGGUGACUGUCCGCUUCACCGCGGACUCGCCUCAAAAUUAUUGGCGGCCGGUACAUUGGCUUCGAGCGCAGCAGAAACGCGAACUCGGGCCCGUCGUAUUGGCUCCCAGAAGCUAUCUUCACAAUUUUGACCUCGGAUCAGGUAGGGAUACCCGCUGAACUUAAGCAUAUCAAUAAGCGGAGGA